Molecule: ribosomal RNA, 497 nt
Filed under: uncultured bacterium
Lineage: Bacteria
Description: partial 16S ribosomal RNA
Rfam family: Bacterial small subunit ribosomal RNA
Source: RNAcentral
GAUGAACGCUGGCGGCGUGCUUAACACAUGCAAGUCGAACGGACAGGCCAGGACUUUGCCCGGUUCUCGAUUGGCGAACACGUGAGUAUCACGUGUGUAUACUGCCCUUAACUUACGGAUAAACCUGGGAAACUGCGGCUAUUACCCGAUAGGAUAUAUUGAUGCAUGUGGUUCUAUAGAGAAUUUCGGUUUUGGGGUGAGCUCUCGACGUAUCAGCGCCGCAUUAGCGUGUUGGUAUGGCAACGGGUUACCAAGGCGACGAUGCGUAAGCGAGUUGAGAGGGUGAUCGGCCACACGGGAGCGGAGACACGGACCAGACUCCUACGAGAGGCCGCAGUAGGGAAUGUGACGCAAGGGGCGAAAGCCGGACAAAGCGAGGCAGCGUGAGUGAUGAAGGUCGUCGGAUCGUUAAACGCUGUUAUUAGGGAAGAACAAAUGUGUAAGGACCUAUGGACGUCUUGACGGUACCUAGUCAAAAAGCCACGGCUAACUACGUG